GUGGGGAAUAUUGGGCAAUGGGCGCAAGCCUGACCCAGCAACGCCGCGUGAGGGAAGAAGGCUUUCGGGUUGUAAACCUCUGUCCUUGGUGACGAAACAAAUGACGGUAGCCAAGGAGGAAGCCCCGGCUAACUACGUGCCAGCAGCCGCGGUAAUACGUAGGGGGCGAGCGUUGUCCGGAAUUACUGGGCGUAAAGGGUGCGUAGGUGGCCUUUUAAGUUGGAUGUGAAAUACCCGGGCUUAACUUGGGGGGUGCAUCCAAAACUGGGAGGCUAGUGUGCAGGAGAGGAAAGCGGAAUUCCUAGGGUAGCGGUGAAAUGCGUAGAUAUGGGGAGGAACACCAGUGGCGAAGGCGGCUUUCUGGACGGUGUCUGACACUGAGGCGUGAAAGCCAGGGGAGCGAACGGGAUUAGAAACCCCGGUAGUCC
This 428-nucleotide ribosomal RNA is filed under the name uncultured bacterium. RNAcentral describes it as "partial 16S ribosomal RNA". It matches the Rfam family "Bacterial small subunit ribosomal RNA", at positions 354 to 796 of the family's 1533-position model. The record is from RNAcentral.